This is a long non-coding RNA of Calidris pugnax (ruff), 677 nucleotides long. RefSeq lists it as uncharacterized. NCBI's taxonomy places the organism in Eukaryota, Metazoa, Chordata, Aves, Charadriiformes, Scolopacidae. The record is from RefSeq and is a predicted model, not a curated record. The transcript is spliced from 3 exons.
UGGCUCUCUGUUUUGCAGAGCUACCAAAAGCAGUUUUAUCGGACUGAAAGGCACCUGGAAGUACAGGACGUCCUUGAAGAAUUCAUCCAGAAGGACGCUGUGGCUAAGAUAAUCAGGCUACCAGGACCCGUGAUGCUGCUAUUAAAGAGGACUGACUUCAAGGACUUUGGGAAAGAAAAUAGAAAUUUCCACCCUCGUUGUUCACGUUCGUUCUUUACAGAGGUUCCUACAGCUACAGGACUAAGAGAUCCUGGAAACGUAUAAUUGAUCCGAAGCUUUGGCCGAGGUUCGUGCAGUGAAGUGUGUUCUGCGCGUGUGUCCCCCGUGCGAGCAAGUGCCAGGCAAGAGCCUGUUCCAGCAGCUGGGCACAUCCCUGCCACCCGCAGGAAUAACUGUUCACCGGGAAAACACCCACUAAUUAUGGCACGUUUACAGAUACUUUUAUUAUUUCAAGGGUCAUGCUUCAGCUAUAUGGUGCUGUACUUAUCCGGAAUUCUGCGCUUAGGCCUCAAAAAUGUGCAGUUAAUGCGUGUUUGGCGUUUUUUUUCCCAAUUUUAAGUGUCCCUACUGAACAUUACUUCUUCUGAUUUGCUAUCAUCCUCGGGCUCCUUCCUCUGAAACGCAGUUGUCUUCUGAAAUGACAAGCCGUGCUGCUAACUGCCAGCCAACUGCGGCAC